GAGGAGGAGAGGGAGAGCCGGGAGGCCGCUCUGUCCUGCUUGUCUUUCUCAGCUUUUGCUUUGUGCGAUCAGGGGAGGAACCCCACGCAGGGGAACGGUUAGUGGCUUUGGGGUCUCUUUGGUGGCCCUGUUUGAAGGAGGAGGCAGGCCAAGGGUGCAGGGUCAGGCCCAGGGGCAGAAAGGGAUGAGGCGAUGACCACAGUCGGGGAUCCAGGCCCGGCAAGCGGCAGAGGUGCCGGAGAGGACCAGCCGCCGGGCAGAGAUCGAAGCAGAAAAACAUUUAUGGCCGCGCGCCCGAAAGCGGGGAGCAAGGCCGGGGCUCUGGUAGCCCUGGGAAGGUUGCCUUCCUGAGGUCUUUAAAAAAGAGGAGAGAGAGCGAGAGAGAGAGAGAAGGGAGGGGUUGGGGCGCCUUGAAUUUUCCUUCCCGGGCUUGGAGCGCAGCGCAUUUCUGUAAAGGAAGAGAAGAGCACCGUCCUGGAUCUUUCCACGUCCGCCUCAUUCUAUCCAGGCCUCUCCCCUUGCCCGAGCUCUCAGCCGCCACCAGGAGACUGACACGGAAGGGGCUUCUGGGCCGCCCCCCACCAACUCCUGCCUGGUUUCCCAAACUUCAGCGACCUCCAGCCCUCUUUGGGUGGAAAAUAGCAGGGCCCAGGCACCUCUUCUUCUUGUCAUUUGUGACCCGUGCUCUCAUCAGGAAUAUCUUACAAAGAAGGAGAGGAAGAAAGUGGAAAAGAAUCCUGUGCACGCAGGCAUCUCCUACUUUUUCCCCACUACGCGCCCCGUCUGGAGAUGCGGCUGAAACUCUGAUUAUUUCCCCCCAUUACAUGGAUGAGGAAGUGGAGGCCUCUCGCUGGGGAAGUGAUUUGUUUAAGGCAACUAGGAGCAGAGAGCUCUGACAAGAAUUCCGGCAGUCCGACUCCCACCCAGGGUUCUUCUCAUUGGACCGUGCAUAAACAUGAACCUCAUGCAGCCAUAAAAUAGAGAAUUUGUGAAUAAAUACCUAUCCGAUUAAUGAAAUUACCGAGGC
This 1027-nucleotide long non-coding RNA is filed under the name Sus scrofa (pig). RNAcentral's name for it is "lncRNA (ENSSSCG00060019966.1)". Lineage: Eukaryota; Metazoa; Chordata; Mammalia; Artiodactyla; Suidae. The record is from RNAcentral.